CCUACGGGAGGCAGCAGUAGGGAAUCUUCCACAAUGGGCGAAAGCCUGAUGGAGCAACGCCGCGUGGGUGAAGAAGGUCUUCGGAUCGUAAAACCCUGUUGUUAGAGAAGAAAGUGCGUGAGAGUAACUGUUCACGUUUCGACGGUAUCUAACCAGAAAGCCACGGCUAACUACGUGCCAGCAGCCGCGGUAAUACGUAGGUGGCAAGCGUUAUCCGGAUUUACUGGGCGUAAAGGGAACGCAGGCGGUCUUUUAAGUCUGAUGUGAAAGCCUUCGGCUUAACCGGAGUAGUGCAUUGGAAACUGGGAGACUUGAGUGUAGAAGAGGAGAGUGGAACUCUAUGUGUAGGGGUGAAAUGCGUAGAUAUAUGGAAGAACACCAGUGGCGAAAGCGGCUCUCUGGUCUGUAACUGACGCUGAGGUUCGAAAGCGUGGGUAGCAAACAGGAUUAGAUACCCGAGUAGUC
Molecule: ribosomal RNA, 465 nt
Filed under: uncultured bacterium
Lineage: Bacteria
Description: partial 16S ribosomal RNA
Rfam family: Bacterial small subunit ribosomal RNA
Source: RNAcentral